This 537-nucleotide ribosomal RNA is filed under the name Micrococcus luteus. RNAcentral describes it as "bacterial SSU rRNA". It matches the Rfam family "Bacterial small subunit ribosomal RNA", at positions 56 to 608 of the family's 1533-position model. Lineage: Bacteria; Bacillati; Actinomycetota; Actinomycetes; Micrococcales; Micrococcaceae. The record is from RNAcentral.
UGCAGUCGACGAUGAAGCCCAGCUUGCUGGGUGGAUUAGUGGCGAACGGGUGAGUAACACGUGAGUAACCUGCCCUUAACUCUGGGAUAAGCCUGGGAAACUGGGUCUAAUACCGGAUAGGAGCGUCCACCGCAUGGUGGGUGUUGGAAAGAUUUAUCGGUUUUGGAUGGACUCGCGGCCUAUCAGCUUGUUGGUGAGGUAAUGGCUCACCAAGGCGACGACGGGUAGCCGGCCUGAGAGGGUGACCGGCCACACUGGGACUGAGACACGGCCCAGACUCCUACGGGAGGCAGCAGUGGGGAAUAUUGCACAAUGGGCGAAAGCCUGAUGCAGCGACGCCGCGUGAGGGAUGACGGCCUUCGGGUUGUAAACCUCUUUCAGUAGGGAAGAAGCGAAAGUGACGGUACCUGCAGAAGAAGCACCGGCUAACUACGUGCCAGCAGCCGCGGUAAUACGUAGGGUGCGAGCGUUAUCCGGAAUUAUUGGGCGUAAAGAGCUCGUAGGCGGUUUGUCGCGUCUGUCGUGAAAGUCCGGGGC